This 253-nucleotide ribosomal RNA is filed under the name uncultured bacterium. Its description in RNAcentral is "partial 16S ribosomal RNA". It matches the Rfam family "Bacterial small subunit ribosomal RNA", at positions 524 to 776 of the family's 1533-position model. The record is from RNAcentral.
UACGAAGGUGGAUAGCGGUGUUCGGAUUUACUGGGCGUAAAGGGCGCGUAGGCGGAUUUUUAAGUCGGGGGUGAAAUCCCGGAGCUCAACUCCGGAACUGCCUUCGAUACUGAAAGUCUGGAGCACGGUAGAGGUGAGUGGAAUUCCGAGUGUAGAGGUGAAAUUCGUAGAUAUUCGGAGGAACACCAGUGGCGAAGGUGGCUCACUGGACCGUUGCUGAAGAUAAGGCGCGAAAGCGUGGGGAGCAAACAGG